Non-coding RNA from Hydra vulgaris (swiftwater hydra), 240 nucleotides. Lineage: Eukaryota; Metazoa; Cnidaria; Hydrozoa; Anthoathecata; Hydridae. The record is from RefSeq and is a predicted model, not a curated record.
GUUUAAAAAUCGCGUAAUUUACAUUUUAGCAUUAGUUUCUUACAAAAGGUAGAAGUAAUUAGUCCGUAAGAACAUUUAAAUAAAAGUCGCUUUACAAUAUGUGCCUAAAAAAGUAUAUGUUCCUUCUCUUCUCGCGUACAUUCCGCGUCAAGUACCAGAAAUACCACUAUCUGAGGAAGAUGAAAUAAUGUACGCAGAAAGCUAAAUGUAUUACUAAAAAAGUCAUAAGCCCUGAUAUUA